AGGACGAACGCUGGCGGCGUGCCUAACACAUGCAAGUCGAACGAGGUCCAUCCAGUGGCAACACUGGUGAAGACCUAGUGGCGAACGGGUGAGUAACACGUGAGGAACCUGCCCCGAAGACCGGGAUAACUCUCCGAAAGGAGUGCUAAUACCGGAUACCCCCAUCUGAUCGCAUGGUCGGAUGAGGAAAUGGAUUCCGCUUCGGGAGGGCCUCGCGGCCUAUCAGCUUGUUGGUGAGGUAACGGCUCACCAAGGCAUCGACGGGUAGCUGGUCUGAGAGGACGAUCAGCCACACUGGGACUGAGACACGGCCCAGACUCCUACGGGAGGCAGCAGUGGGGAAUCUUGCGCAAUGGGCGAAAGCCUGACGCAGCAACGCCGCGUGGGGGAUGAAGGCUCUUGGGUUGUAAACCCCUUUCAGUAGGGACGAAAAUGACGGUACCUACAGAAGAAGCCCCGGCCAACUACGUGCCAGCAGCCGCGGU
Molecule: ribosomal RNA, 485 nt
Filed under: uncultured bacterium
Lineage: Bacteria
Description: SSU rRNA
Rfam family: Bacterial small subunit ribosomal RNA
Source: RNAcentral